AGCCCAGUUUUGCACUAUUGGAUGAAACUUCCUCACUUGUUCAGAGGCUGCUGGACACCAAUUGCAAGAGCACAGCUGUGGGGACAUUCUAUGUAUCCACAUGUAUCCACAAAAGUAGUGCUUCUUUAAGAAAGGGCAAUGAGCUCCCCAUCCUCUUUAAGAAAGAGGCACUACUUUUGUGGAUACAUGUGGAUACGUGUGGUUAUUCCCUUAUUUGUUCAUUCCUGGAGAACCAUGGAGAUUAGUGCCUGUCAGGACUUAGUACACAGUUGUUGCAUCUUGAAAAUGGCUGGGAAAGAGCCUCGCCAGACCGGGGUAUUGGCCAGCUCUCGAAAAGGGGUGCUCAGGGGCAGUGCUGAUGAACGCUGUAAAGCAGAGCUGCCAUCCUGCUCUGGCUGUGAGGAAAGUGGACAUUCUUGGGGAAAAUGCUCAUACGGGAGGGUCUAUCAAUGCAGAUGUGAAAAUGAAAGCCGGCCUCUGACGUUUCAGGUAAAGACGCAGGAGAGGCGCACCACCUGGACCAUGCAUCAGCAGGCUACCCUCCCGCUCGGGAGGCAGGGGCCCUGGAUGGGGUGGGGGAAAAGGUGGGUGCCCACUUUCUCAGAGAGGGUGUCAGGCUGAGGAAGCCAGAGGUUUUGCAGAAGAGAAAUUUACCACUUUGGUAAACUUUCACUGCCCUCUGGGGUCCAGACACUGACACAAUUUGGAAGAGUUUGUCUUGUGGCAACCAUUGUACUUUGUGCACUAGCUCUGAGCUGUAUCUGGAGGACAGACUUGAAUGGUGUUCAUCUCUCACUAUUCACUCUUACUGUCUCAUUUGAGACUUUGCAAUCGCUGCCAAAGAAUUUUCUAUUGUCCAAGAUUCUGCCAGUGCUCUGAGCUGAUGAGCCAUGGAAACCCUGUAUGCUGGCCUCUGGAUUAGUCAGCUCAGAAUACCAUAACAAAUUUCCACAGACUGGGUGGCUAAAACAACAGGAAUUUGUGUUCUCACAGUGCUGUAGACUGGAACUCUGAAGGUGUUAGCAUGCUGGUGUUCUCUGCAACCUCUCUCCUUGGCUCAUAGACAGCCGUCUUCUCCCUGCGUCCUCAUGUGGUCUGUCCUCUGUGUGUGACUGUGUCUUAACCUCUUCUUACGAGAAUUCUGGUUGUAUUGGGUUUAAUGCCCACUCUCAUUACCUCAUUUUAACUUAAUUACUUCUCCAAAGACUCUCCAGAUACAGUACUACAUUCUGAGGUACUACGGGUUAAGUCUUCAACACAUGAAUUUUGGGGUAACACAAUUCAGUCCCUAACAACCUUCUCUGAAAAAAGCCUAGUUGUUGGUGUGGACAGUGGGGGAAGUCGAUGACAGAGGUGGUCAAGAGUCAGGACUCAUCCCUGCAAACCAUGAUAAGACCUUGAUAUUUUCAGUGGAAAAUAGACUACAGUGGACCAAAGUAUCAGCAGGAGCCCCAUUACAAGGGGACUGUGGAAGCCCAGGUGAGAAGCCAGUGUAUAUUGCACCAGGGUGCCAGCAGUGCAGGGGAUAAGAAGUGGCCCCAUUCAAAAUUUUUGUUGAAGGUACAGCGGCAACAGCAGUUGCUGAUGUAAGAAUAUGGAAUAUGAGGAUAUGUGAAGAAUAUUUUUAUUUUUUGCCCUGAACAACUGCAGAGACACUAGUGCCAUUUUCUGAAAUGACAACACCUGUAUGUGCACGUGGUACCUGCAAGCUGGGGAGAUGUACAAUGAAGAGUUUGGUUUUGGACACUAGGGAUGAGAUACCUGUGGGAGGUUCUAGUGGAUAUGUCAGGACACGGGUUCUGGAGUCUGGAGUUCAGCUGGGUGGUUGGAGCUGAAGAUAUAAAUGCAGGAAUCAUUCCGAAAUUGACAGCAUUUAGCACUAUAGAUUUGGAAAAGAUUACAUGGAGACUGAGUAUUCUAAGAGAAGAUUAAAAUUUCAAUAAUAUUGGGUGAUUGCCUGAGUGAAUUACAUGAAAUUUGAAUAAUAUUGGGUGAUUGCUUGAAUGAAUUACAUGGACUUUGGGGUUAAAAAUUUGAUAUUCAAAGGCAUUGUAGAGCCUGGAGAAAUUUUGACAGACUGUUUCUGAAAGCAGCUUAGGCUAAGACAGCUUUAAGUAGUUGUUAUUUGUUGUCUAAUUGUCUGCUCGUGCCUGUGGGAUGAACUGUAUACAUUAACUAAUCUUUCAAGGCUUUCAUCGCCGCACUACUCUGCACAGUCCCUAGCAAAGUCUCUCCUUGGGAAGCCAAUGGCAGGACUCUAAUUCCUAGAAUCCUUUGCAAAUUAACCCUUCCGGGUGAGGCUAAGUUAGAUCCUGGAAAUAGACCUACUGGAAGGCAGAGAAGAGGCUAUUUUUCCGGUUUUUCCAGUCUGUCUCUUUGUGUAACAGCCUCCUUUUGUCUUUAAGCAAGGAUACAGCAGGGAGGUCUUCAAGAACCUCCACUCUUUAACAAUGAGACUCCAUGUUUUCCUCACUGCUCUUUUUGCCAUCUUCCAGGUACUACCCGGCAUCACUAGGGCACUCCAUUUUGAAAGACCCUGCUACCUUAGAGGUGGGAUCUGUCUGAAGCGAGGAACACCGAAUUGUGAGCCUUUCAGAGGACCCUGCAGAGCUUUCACCGUUUGCUGUAAAAUAAGGAGAAGCUGAUGGAGAAGCCUGGCAAGGAACAUAGGCGCAGGAUCUGAAGCGUGGCUCCUUUAGUCCAAAUGAGAGCAAACAUUACUCAAGUCCACAUAACUGAUUAUUGUCAUUAGGACUGAUUAAAGAAAGAGAUGUUUCCCAUGAAGGGGUAAGCAUUAGGUAGGAGAAAAUUAUAAUUAAACUUGUAUUAUGUUUUAACGUU
Molecule: long non-coding RNA, 2841 nt
Organism: Macaca mulatta (Rhesus monkey)
Lineage: Eukaryota; Metazoa; Chordata; Mammalia; Primates; Cercopithecidae
Source: RefSeq, a predicted model, not a curated record